Molecule: long non-coding RNA, 265 nt
Organism: Mya arenaria
Lineage: Eukaryota; Metazoa; Mollusca; Bivalvia; Myida; Myidae
Exons: 3
Source: RefSeq, a predicted model, not a curated record
GUUUGUCUAAUAGCGACGGGCUAUGUGCUUUUCACGUGCCGGGGAGAGAACGGCUGCUCGCAAUUCCUGCGAACAUGCUGCAACAGAACAAAACGCAUGAAUCUGAAACACUACCGGCGUCACAGUUAUGAAGUACCACGUGAUAGGCGUCAGAACCCAAGAGCGGUCAAUAUGAAUCAAUCGUUUUCUGUAAGAAAGCCUCCUCCACCUAAAGGUACGUUUGAAAUUUAUGUUUGAUUUUGUAAAAAAAUCAUUUAUUUAUUCG